AUGUCGAAAUGUCUUCUGAGGUUAGCCAAUAAUUUCAAGAUAGACAAUAGGAUAGUUCAGUGGGACGAACUUAUCAGUAGUGACACCAUACUGAAUGAGUUGGCUCAUGCAUUAAGUAGGUGCGGGUGGCCUGCAAGGACCUUUGAGGAGAUACGGAAAGAACUUCUUAGGUUGCAUGUAAGGUGGACGAAGCAACAACAUAAGAGUGCAACUUUCCUAAGGACUGCAGCAGAGCAUACUUAUUUAUGGACUGACGAAAGCGAAGACGAAGACGAUAUCUUCAUGCCGAGCAGCAAGGCCAAGACACCUGCAUCGUCGAAGGGCAAGAGUGCCUCAUCGUCGAAGGGCAAGAGUGCUGCAUGCCUGCAUCGACGGAGGAUGACGAUGAUGUCUUCAUGUAGUUUGUAUGUUGCAUUAUCUAAGCUAAGUUGUACCGUUUAA
RNAcentral lists this ribosomal RNA (441 nucleotides) under Triticum aestivum (bread wheat). RNAcentral describes it as "partial small subunit ribosomal RNA". The record is from RNAcentral. Lineage: Eukaryota; Viridiplantae; Streptophyta; Magnoliopsida; Poales; Poaceae.